This is a non-coding RNA of Rattus norvegicus (Norway rat), 1802 nucleotides long. NCBI's taxonomy places the organism in Eukaryota, Metazoa, Chordata, Mammalia, Rodentia, Muridae. The record is from RefSeq and is a predicted model, not a curated record.
GCACUGAAAAAAUUCUGGUGGAGCGCUAUAGAUUUUUUUUUUGUCAGUUUCUUGUAUUUGGACUGAUUGGAUGCACGUGCUGAUGCAAGGCAUGCGCUAAGGCAAGACAUGUGGAAGGCACGUGAUGUUUGGAGGGUAUAAAUAGGACUCCAAGGAGUGACAGAGACAGGGCCUGACUUGCUGGCAGAGCUAGCUGUGCAACUCUUGUGGGUCUCCUGACUUCACUGAUCUUUUCUUUCCUGAGAGAACAGCUGAGAACUUCUCCAGGGCUGCUGGUGUGUCCUCGAGGUGUUUGCAAGUGGAUAGCUACGUCUGCCUGCGGACCUGUAAAUUGAACUACUGUUUUUCAGAGAACACAGAUGGGAGUUGCUCCAAAGAGUCUUUCUAAGCAGGUUGUGUGGCUACAUCCAGGUCACUGUCAGUUGGAAAGCCAUUGAGUUCUUGGAACUGUAUUCUCUGUAGGAUGAGAGACCGGAUCUUUCUGUGUAACUGUGACUGACCUCGAACUUGCUAUGAUGCUAUGAAGACAAGGCUCAUACAGAUCUACCUGCCUCGGACUGCCCGAGUACUGGGAUUAAAGUGUGCAACACAUCUGGCUUGGAUUUACACUAGGACAUUGUGAAACCACAGCACUAACUAUUAUCUUACAUAAACUUAUGGUACAUGAUUAAGGGGAUAAAACCUGAGAAAUAUUGACCUUGAUUUCCGAAAUAACUAAUAAGCCUUAACACAGUGAAUAGUGAACUAUUUUUCAAGUAGACUCAGUUGUUUCAACAUUAACGAUGAACUUUCAUGCUGCCGAAUGGAUAGGAUGACUUGUUGUUGCUAUUGUUGUUUUUAUAUGAAAGAGACAAAUAUGACACAGUGGUCCCAGAUGUUGAUUUCUUUUUAUCAUCCGUAUUUCCAUGUAUUUAUGUGUAUUGAUAAUUCAAUAGAAUCUGAUUCAGUAUUUGGCUUCAUUUUAGAAAGUGACUGCUAUGUACUUUAAAUAGUUUUACUUUAAACGUAUAUAUACUGCUUUAAAAAAACAGCUUCUCAAUUAAUGUUGGCUAAGAACUUCCCUUAAAACUUUGAACCAAAUAAAAAUAAUUGUGUUUAUGAGUUGGGCGUGAAUGUUGACAGUACAGAUUCAACCAGGGGCUGAAGACUUGGUUGUCGUAAGAGCUCUGGAAUUGGCCCAUUAAAGGAAUUUUGUAGCAUCUCAUCGAGAAACAGCCCUGGGUUCUCCUGUGAGUCAUCCUACUUCCGUUUCUUCUGUUUCCAAAGGCUCCUCCUUCAUUCUUAGGAGGCUCGUAAGAGUUUUAUGUUCAUAAGCUGGAUUUCACUCAAAGGCUCUGACAACAUGACCUUCAUUCCGUAGUGGUGCUGAAUCGAGCACGGGCAGGCUGUGCAGGCCUGGGGUUCCGCAGGAACCUUUUGAAGGAGCUGGCCUCAGAACUGGAGGUUCCCAUUUGCAAAUGAAGUCAUUGCAGUAGAUCACAGCGUGACAUAUCUCAUGGAUCAAAACUGACAGACUUUUAUACAAAACCAAAUGGGUAGACUUUCCCUGUUUGCAGUGAUGUAUGCAGGGGUGCCACCAUUUCCUUCGGGGACACCGUGCUGAAAUGUAGUACAAAUGCUCACCCUAAGGAAACAACAAUAGAAGUUAGAGUUUUAAGUAUUGAGCAAUGUUGGAUAUAGGCCAUCUUGACAUUCUUCUGUAUCUGCUGUAAGAGUAACAUUUGAUAGCAGCCAUGAGAUAGCCAUGCUUAUAAAACCACUUUUGCAUGUUUUUGUAUAUUUGUGUGUGUAUAUGUAUGUGU